RNAcentral lists this ribosomal RNA (286 nucleotides) under uncultured bacterium. RNAcentral describes it as "partial 16S ribosomal RNA". It matches the Rfam family "Bacterial small subunit ribosomal RNA", at positions 510 to 793 of the family's 1533-position model. The record is from RNAcentral.
AGCAGCCGCGGUAAUACGGAGGGUGCGAGCGUUAAUCGGAAUUACUGGGCGUAAAAGCGCAUGCAGGUGGUUUGUUAAGUCAGAUGUGAAAGCCCGGGGCUCAACCUCGGAAUUGCAUUUGAAAACUGGCAAACUAGAGUACUGUAGAGGGGGUAGAAUUUCAGGUGUAGCGGUGAAAUGCGUAGAGAUCUGAAGGAAUACCGGUGGCGAAGGCGGCCCCCUGGACAGAUACUGACACUCAGAUGCGAAAGCGUGGGGAGCAAACAGGAUUAGAUCCCCCUGGUAG